GGACCAGAAGGUAUUGAGAGAGUGUUAGGGUUUAGGAAUAGAUUAGAGGGGUUAGGAAAGGGAAUUGAACAGUUUACAAUAUAUUGAACAAGCAGGAAUGAACAUAUAAGCUUAACAUGAGAAGUAGUGAUAUAAAGCAUACCAUAGUUCUGAAUACAAGUGAUUAGUUACACGUUCUAAUAUACUUGCACACCUGAAACAGUUCUAUAUUGAUUUUACUUAUGAUUUGUUCAAUAAGAAAAGAAUGUUUAAUCAAAACCCCUGAUUCAUAAGAUAUAUGACCCUUUGGGGUGGCAGCUCCUGGUAUGUGGGAGUUGAAUUGGUAUUAAUACCUGGUGGCAGCGAAAAAAGGCGAGUUUACCUUUGUGGAGUCCAAAGAAAUAAGGGGCGCAAAGGGGCAUCACCACAGCAUGCAUCUCUCUUUUUGCUUCUCUUGCAGGCUGCUGUCCCAAACACACUUACCAGAGUCCCCACUGAACACAAUGGACUGCACCUCUUGUGCUGUCAUUGUUUGAACUACUUCAGGCUGCAAUCGUACACCAUUUAUGAGGCUAUCCAGCAAGAAAUACCCAUUGAUGCAGAUACUGAAAAUAUCUACUCAAAACAAAAGAAUCAGCAACUGAAGAAAAGUGGAACAAACCAGAAUGACAGCGGUAAUGUGGCCAUGUAAAUGACCCCUAAGUUAUAGGAAUACAUCACUUAAAAAAUAAAAAGU
Molecule: long non-coding RNA, 715 nt
Filed under: Pogona vitticeps (central bearded dragon)
Lineage: Eukaryota; Metazoa; Chordata; Lepidosauria; Squamata; Agamidae
Description: lncRNA (ENSPVIG00000009745.1)
Source: RNAcentral